AGCUUCAAUAAAAAGGAGAUCAUAAUGUAUUACAGGAAGGGAAAAUAAUGAAAUGAAAUAGAAAUAAUCAUGAAUUCAAAUAACAUUAAUGAAAAAAAAUCUAGCCUAAAACUAAAUAACUUAGAAAGGAAAAAUAACUAAAUUCCAUCUAUCUUCGGAUCUCUGGCCGGAGGAGUAAAAGAGUUAACAUGAUGCCGUAACAUACGUAACUGACUUGCCGUGCUGCUCAUGUGUUCUAGGACUGCAAGUCUCAAGCUGUGGAAAUCUUCCCUGAGGGCGUUUUGUUCUGACAUCAAAGCUUCAAUGACGGUUUUAAUAUCUGUUCCUGGCAUAUGAUGUCGGAGAUCAGGCAUGGCUGAUUCUUCGGUCAGGACAGGCUGAGGAGGAGGAUCAAUAUCAUGGUAGCCGGAUGGAGUCUGAGGGUCAGAUUCAGCAAGAGAGAUAUGGUCAACAUAGUGCUCAUAGUCAUCACAAAUCUCAUAAUCCUGGAUGGAUUCAGUGGAUCCA
Molecule: long non-coding RNA, 507 nt
Filed under: Lathyrus oleraceus (garden pea)
Lineage: Eukaryota; Viridiplantae; Streptophyta; Magnoliopsida; Fabales; Fabaceae
Description: Pisum sativum (pea) long non-coding RNA (PSAT_LNC018479)
Source: RNAcentral